RNAcentral lists this ribosomal RNA (697 nucleotides) under uncultured bacterium. RNAcentral describes it as "bacterial SSU rRNA". It matches the Rfam family "Bacterial small subunit ribosomal RNA", at positions 82 to 796 of the family's 1533-position model. The record is from RNAcentral.
AUUUUGUGACUGAGUGGCGGACGGGUGAGUAACGCGUGGGUAACCUGCCUCAUACAGGGGGAUAACAGUUGGAAACGGCUGCUAAUACCGCAUAAGCGCACAGUACCGCAUGGUACCGUGUGAAAAACUCCGGUGGUAUGAGAUGGACCCGCGUCUGAUUAGCUAGUUGGUGGGGUAACAGCCUACCAAGGCGACGGUCAGUAGCCGACCUGAGAGGGUGACCGGCCACAUUGGGACUGAGACACGGCCCAAACUCCUACGGGAGGCAGCAGUGGGGAAUAUUGCACAAUGGGGGAAACCCUGAUGCAGCGACGCCGCGUGAGCGAAGAAGUAUUUCGGUAUGUAAAGCUCUAUCAGCAGGGAAGAUAAUGACGGUACCUGACUAAGAAGCACCGGCUAAAUACGUGCCAGCAGCCGCGGUAAUACGUAUGGUGCAAGCGUUAUCCGGAUUUACUGGGUGUAAAGGGAGCGCAGGCGGUGCGGCAAGUCUGAUGUGAAAGCCCGGGGCUCAACCCCGGUACUGCAUUGGAAACUGUCGUACUAGAGUGUCGGAGGGGUAAGUGGAAUUCCUAGUGUAGCGGUGAAAUGCGUAGAUAUUAGGAGGAACACCAGUGGCGAAGGCGGCUUACUGGACGAUAACUGACGCUGAGGCUCCAAAGCGUGGGGAGCAAACAGGAUUAGAUACCCCUGGUAGUCC